This is a long non-coding RNA of Limulus polyphemus (Atlantic horseshoe crab), 464 nucleotides long. RefSeq lists it as uncharacterized. The record is from RefSeq and is a predicted model, not a curated record. NCBI's taxonomy places the organism in Eukaryota, Metazoa, Arthropoda, Merostomata, Xiphosura, Limulidae. The transcript has 3 exons.
GUGCUGUCUGAAGGCGAAUAAGAUUGAUUUAAACAUUUCCCUUCGCCAGUUGAAAACACGAAUAACUGACUUUUUCAGUUCCUAAAGCUAUUUGGAAAUGAGUAUUAUAUACAAGGUUUUCAAGGUCAAACUAAUCAGUCCGUCGUUAGAGAUUACGAAGUUGUAUCGCCUCGUUACAACAAAACACAAGGAAGAAGUUUGAGCAACGAGAAAGACAUGGGGAGUACAAGCGUCCUUCUGAAGACCUUAGUGGUAUUGGUUGUAAUAGCCGUGUACUUGGUAUAUGCUCCAGGUCUUCUGGACUUUAAUCCAGUUGCUUUCAGUAUUAAUGUCCCAGAUAAGUUUGAAGAACCUCUAGCCCCCAACAAUGAACUUAGUAAUGCAGAAAGACUUCUUGAGAAUGAAAUAAUUGGACCAGAGUCUGUUGCUGCUUUAGGAGGUAGGAUGUUAAUAUAUGUGUUAAU